AUUGAACGCUGGCGGAAUGCUUUACACAUGCAAGUCGAGCGGCAGCGCGGGGCAACCUGGCGGCGAGCGGCGAACGGGUGAGUAACAUAUCGGAACGUACCCUGUCGUGGGGGAUAACACAGCGAAAGUUGUGCUAAUACCGCAUACGACCUGAGGGUGAAAGCGGGGGACCGUAAGGCCUCGCGCGAUAGGAGCGGCCGAUAUCGGAUUAGCUAGUUGGUGAGGUAAAGGCUCACCAAGGCGACGAUCCGUAGCUGGUCUGAGAGGACGACCAGCCACACUGGAACUGAGACACGGUCCAGACUCCUACGGGAGGCAGCAGUGGGGAAUUUUGGACAAUGGGGGCAACCCUGAUCCAGCCAUUCCGCGUGAGUGAAGAAGGCCUCGGUUGGUAAAGACUCUUUCGGUCAGGAACGAAACGGUAGACGUCCUAAUACGAGUUACUAAUAGACGGUACCUGAAGAAGAAGACACCGGCUAACUACGUAGCCAGCAGCCGCGGUAAU
RNAcentral lists this ribosomal RNA (505 nucleotides) under uncultured bacterium. Its description in RNAcentral is "bacterial SSU rRNA". It matches the Rfam family "Bacterial small subunit ribosomal RNA", at positions 29 to 524 of the family's 1533-position model. The record is from RNAcentral.